AGCGAACGCUGGCGGCAGGCCUAACACAUGCAAGUCGAACGAACCUUUCGGGGUUAGUGGCGGACGGGUGAGUAACACGUGGGAACGUGCCUUUAGGUUCGGAAUAACUCAGGGAAACUUGUGCUAAUACGAAUGUGCCCUUCGGGGGAAAGAUUUAUCGCCUUUAGAGCGGCCCGCGUCUGAUUAGCUAGUUGGUUGAGGUAAUGGCUCACCAAGGCGACGAUCAGUAGCUGGUCUGAGAGGAUGAUCAGCCACAUUGGGACUGAGACACGGCCCAAACUCCUACGGGAGGCAGCAGUGGGGAAUCUUGCGCAAUGGGCGAAAGCCUGACGCAGCCAUGCCGCGUGAAUGAUGAAGGUCUUAGGAUUGUAAAAUUCUUUCACCGGGGACGAUAAUGACGGUACCCGGAGAAGAAGCCCCGGCUAACUUCGUG
Molecule: ribosomal RNA, 433 nt
Filed under: uncultured bacterium
Lineage: Bacteria
Description: partial 16S ribosomal RNA
Rfam family: Bacterial small subunit ribosomal RNA
Source: RNAcentral